GCUUAAGGUCACACAGCUAUGACAAAGGUAGGACUCCUGUCCAUCAACCUUUCCAUCAACAGUACUCAUGCUGCUCUGCUCCCCAUCAGGUAUGACAAUCGGUGCAGGAACAUGAGCCAGGAGCAGGUGGCCCAGAAGCUGGCCAAGGACCCCAAGCCUGCAAUCCGCUUCCGCCUGGAGCAGGUGGCGCCGGCCUUCCAGGACCUGGUGUAUGGCUGGAAUAGGCAUGAAGUGGCCAGCGUGGAGGGAGACCCAGUCAUCAUGAAGAGCGACGGCUUCCCCACAUACCACCUGGCCUGCGUGGUGGACGACCACCACAUGGGCAUCAGCCACGUGCUGCGAGGCUCUGAGUGGCUCGUCUCCACUGCCAAGCACCUGCUCCUCUACCAGGCCCUGGGCUGGCAGCCACCCCACUUCGCCCACCUGCCUCUGCUCCUCAACAGGGAUGGCAGCAAGCUCUCCAAGAGGCAAGGGGACAUUUUCCUGGAGCACUUUGCUGCUGAUGGCUUCCUGCCCGAUUCCUUGUUGGACAUCAUCACCAACUGUGGCUCAGGUUUUGCAGAGAACCAAAUGGGCAGGA
RNAcentral lists this small RNA (580 nucleotides) under Pan troglodytes (chimpanzee). RNAcentral describes it as "retained intron". Lineage: Eukaryota; Metazoa; Chordata; Mammalia; Primates; Hominidae. The record is from RNAcentral.